CUCCAGGGCCCUCUGGGGCUUAACCCUCUCAUCGCCGCCCACGGCCGUGCAGCUCCGAGGCCACGCCCCUGUGGGGCCCCGCCCCCUCCUGGGCAGUUACCGCUCUAUACCGGCAGCAGCCGCGGAGAGCAUGCCCCGCCCCCGUGGAGCCCACCCCGGGCGGUUAACCUCGGGUCUCAGUCCCGGGCUGUGACCCUCCCCGAGGCCCCGCCCCCACGGCGAAGGCCCGGGGCAGUUAACCCUUCUCUUGCUGCGGCAGAGUCCGCACCCGGGCAGGCCCAUCUCAGAAUUAACGCUUUGAUGGCAUCACCGCGUCGGGAAUCCCUGGGGAUGGUGUUCUCCACCGUCAAGACCUUUGAGCCGCCUGAGCGACUAACUCCUGCGCCCCUGAGGUCACAGCUACUUGGAAGGCUGAGAUGUGAAGACUACUUGAGCUCAGAAGUUCCACUGCACUCCAGCCUGGGUUACAGAGGGAAACCUUGUCUCUAAAAAAAAGAAAAAAGAAAGAAAGAAAAAGAAAACAUAGGACAUUUUAUUCAGAAAUUAAAUCAUUCAGAGUUCCAGCACUGUCGGGGGUCAUCGGGCUCUGUCCACCGCCAUAGGCCUAGCAUUGUCACCAACGGAGCCAUAGAGGGACCUCGGCCCAAGCUGGGGCCUCUUCAUUGUCGAAGAAGGCCUCUUGCCAGACCAGGAUCUGUGGGCGCGGCCAGGCUGGAGGACUAGGGCGGUGGCAGUGGCCAGGUGAGUGCACAUGGCUGUGGGUGGUCCCUCAAUUGCUCCCUCCUCUCUUUCGCUACCCCCUGGGCUGGAGGGAGGCAGGGCACCCAGCCGGAAUGGCAUGAUCCUGAAGCCCAACUUCCACAAGGACUGGCAGUGGUGUGGCCAUGUGGCUCAGCCAGCCCAUGGGGCAGACCUGCAGAAGCAAGGUGGCCAGCAAAAGCAGGCUGCAUGGCCCACUGAUAUGGGCCCAUCCACCCAUAGUAAGGUGCCCCAUGCUGAGGCAUCACUACAAAGCACAAGCUGGCAGGGGCCUCAGCUUGGAGGAGUUAAGGGUGGCUGGCAUUUACAAGAAGGUGGCCCAGACCAUUGGCAUCUCUGAGGAUGCAAGGAGGAGGAACCAGUCCACCCAGGCCCUGCAGGCCAAGGUGCAGAGGCUGAAGGAGGACCGCUCCUCACUCAUCCUCUUCCCCAGGAAGCCCUUGGCCCCCAAGAAGGGAGACAGUUCUGCUGAAGAACUCGAACUGGAUACUCAGCUGACAGGACCAGAAAUGCCCAUCGGCAAUGUCUACAAGGAGAAAGCCAGAGUCAUCGCUGACUAGGAGGAAAACUUCCAGGCCUUGUUAGUCUCUGUAUGGCCCAUGCAAAUGCCCAGCUCUUCGGCAUAUAGGCACAAAGAGCCAAGGAAGCUGUAGAAGAGGACGCUUAAAAAAAAAAAAAA
RNAcentral lists this long non-coding RNA (1438 nucleotides) under Homo sapiens (human). RNAcentral describes it as "novel transcript". The record is from RNAcentral. Lineage: Eukaryota; Metazoa; Chordata; Mammalia; Primates; Hominidae.